RNAcentral lists this long non-coding RNA (1798 nucleotides) under Homo sapiens (human). RNAcentral's name for it is "non-protein coding lnc-PDSS1-7:1". Lineage: Eukaryota; Metazoa; Chordata; Mammalia; Primates; Hominidae. The record is from RNAcentral.
AAUAAAAUAAAAUAAAGAAAAGAAAAAGUAAACUUAUUAGAGACCAGAUGUCCUGUCCUGAUUCCUGGCCCACCACACUGCCUUCCCUGAAGCUGUGAGGCCAGCUGGAGCCAAGCUUGUAAUCGGCUCCUCCCUAGAAGCCCACAGUCCUGGCAAAAUGGACCUGUGUUCUCAGCUCACCAACACAAGGAGACAUUGUCCCCAAAAUCAGGCAGAAAGGUCUUUGCCAGGCAACAUAUCCUUUGUGCCUACGUUUGCACAAAGCUUACCUGUAGCCAAGAGAGAACUAUUUCCAUUCACUCUUCCCUUUCCAUCUCCUUCAUCCUAAUCAAAGUAGGACAUUUAAGCCAGGAGACUGUGUGAAGGUUUUGGGAAGUCCUCAACUCCUGGAUAAGGCAAGUUCCAAGGAAGUGAUACUCAUGUGAUCUAAAUACGAUCUAAACACCUCAUUGAACAUAGCCAGAUCUUCCAUUUAUAGGAGACUUGGUAGAUGAGUGCCACAGGGUAACUGAACCCAGGUUUGGCUGCUCACCACUUAAAAGCCAGACUCAAGAGAUUAGGGAUGAUGGGAGGAAAAGGUGGUUUAUUUGGAAAGCCAGUAACACCAUGAAGAUGGUGACUAGUGUUCUAAAGUGCAAUCUUAAAUUUUUCAGGCUAACUGGAGGAUUUUAAUGGGUGUGGGAUAUGGGGAAGAGGAGAGAGUUGGGGAGAGAGUUGAGAUCAAAAGAUGACCAGAGACUGCAGACAUCUGGGUGCCAACAAGAGUCCAAAGAGGUUGGGAACUACUCUGUCCUUGGUCAGGUUACAAUGGUCAUAUAAAUCUUUAACAAAACAUAGUUGUUUACUUCUUUAAUCCCAGAGUUAGUUUUUAAAACUACAUGAUUGCUGGGUUUGCAUAUUUAUAUCAGUGCUCUAAAAUUAUCCUAUGUGCAGGAAUGGGUAAAGGCCACUUUAAACAAAAAUGAAGUAAGUUACAUUCGUUUUUUUUGCUGUUCCACUGUAACAACAGGAAAUACUGUUAAAGUCCAUUUGGGCCAGGUGGGGUGGCCGUAAUUCCAGCUACUCAGGAGGCUGAGGCAGGAGGAUCACUUGAGGCUAGGAGUCUGAGACUAACCUGGGCAACACAGCGAGACUCCAUCUCUAAAAAUAUAUAUAGAGAGAGAGACAUAGUCUCGUUGUGUUGCCCAGGCUGGAGUGCAAUGGCAUGAUCUCAGCUCAUUGCAUCCUCCACCUUCCAAGUUAAAACAAUUCUUAUGCCUUAGCCACCCCAGUAGCCGGGACUACGGGCGUCUGCCACCAUACCAGGCUAAUUUUUGUAUUUUUAAAGGAGAAAAGGUUUCACCAUAUUGUUCAGGUUGGUCUUGAACUCCUGGACUUAAGUGAUCCACCUGCCUGGGCUCCCAAAGUGCUGAGAUUAUAGGCAUGAGCCACCAUGCCCAGCCAAAAUAUUAAAAAAUUAGAAAAAUGAUUAUUUUUAAUUUUAAAGACCAUUUAGAAUAAUUGCCUUAUUCCAGAACAAAGAUGAGCUCAUGACCGACCAGGAGUCUCAGUGACUGAGGGACAGAGGCUCCCCAGGGGGCGGACAGAGACUCACAUAUCUAUGGCAUGGCCCUGUCCACUAGGGCUGUUUUGUCCACUGGGGCUGCCUUGAGAAUAAGGAAUGCUACUCGGGAGGUCGAGGCAGGAGGAUUGCUUGAGCUCGGGAGGUCGAGGCUGCAGUAAGUCCAGAUCGCGCCACUGCACUCAGCCUGGGCGACAGAGUGAGACCCCGUCUCCAUUAAUUAAUAACAAUAAAUUU